ACAUAGCUAAAAACUCCUCAGCCCUCAGCUGGUGUGUUUAUACCCCUUCAGAUACCAAAGGAGAGUGUACCUCCUGCACAACCUCUGGCUUCCUCCAACAGAGCCUUCCUCAUCCAAAUUCAUCCUCCAGCAUACCAAACUACUGACAGGCCAGUGUGAUAGUCAGCCUUGCUUGAAAAGACACAGGUAAUAAGCUGAGGAAAGUGUUAUUUCCCCGUGAGAGUCGUUUCUUGGACAACUCCUUUCAUCUGGAAACCAGGAAUACUGCUUGUUCACUUCUGGGAAAUCUUACGAAAACACAGAAGCAUUGUCAAACUCAAAAGCGGAAGUCAAGGAUUUGAAAUGUGAUGGUACAUCCUACUUUCUUGUUUCCAGUAGAAGCAGCA
Long non-coding RNA from Meriones unguiculatus (Mongolian gerbil), 386 nucleotides. RefSeq lists it as uncharacterized. The transcript has 3 exons. NCBI's taxonomy places the organism in Eukaryota, Metazoa, Chordata, Mammalia, Rodentia, Muridae. The record is from RefSeq and is a predicted model, not a curated record.